Long non-coding RNA from Lonchura striata (white-rumped munia), 228 nucleotides. RefSeq lists it as uncharacterized. NCBI's taxonomy places the organism in Eukaryota, Metazoa, Chordata, Aves, Passeriformes, Estrildidae. The record is from RefSeq and is a predicted model, not a curated record.
UGCCACAGAAGAAGCCGAAGAAGGAGAAAUUAGAGGGGGUGGUAAAAGGAUGGCAGCUGGGAGAAGAGCCAGGUAUGCCAUUUGAGGAGAUGAGGAUAGACUGGAGGGGCAACAGGAGAACUUUCUAAUACAGAAGGGUGGAGAGAACUGCCAGAACACUGAGAGGAUCAGGAGUUCCAGCAAAUUUCUUCAGGCACCUUUGAGCUUUAAGCUACCACAGAGACCAGC